GACGAACGCUGGCGGCGUGCCUAACACAUGCAAGUCGAACGGAAAGGCCCCGCUUUUGUGGGGUGCUCGAGUGGCGAACGGGUGAGUAACACGUGAGUAACCUGCCCUUGACUUUGGGAUAACUUCAGGAAACUGGGGCUAAUACCGGAUAGGAGCUCCUGCUGCAUGGUGGGGGUUGGAAAGUUUCGGCGGUUGGGGAUGGACUCGCGGCUUAUCAGCUUGUUGGUGGGGUAGUGGCUUACCAAGGCUUUGACGGGUAGCCGGCCUGAGAGGGUGACCGGCCACAUUGGGACUGAGAUACGGCCCAGACUCCUACGGGAGGCAGCAGUGGGGAAUAUUGCACAAUGGGCGGAAGCCUGAUGCAGCAACGCCGCGUGCGGGAUGACGGCCUUCGGGUUGUAAACCGCUUUCGCCUGUGACGAAGCGUGAGUGACGGUAAUGGGUAAAGAAGCACCGGCUAACUACGUG
Molecule: ribosomal RNA, 468 nt
Filed under: uncultured bacterium
Lineage: Bacteria
Description: partial 16S ribosomal RNA
Rfam family: Bacterial small subunit ribosomal RNA
Source: RNAcentral